RNAcentral lists this ribosomal RNA (207 nucleotides) under uncultured bacterium. RNAcentral's name for it is "partial 16S ribosomal RNA". It matches the Rfam family "Bacterial small subunit ribosomal RNA", at positions 1293 to 1500 of the family's 1533-position model. The record is from RNAcentral.
UCAGAUUGCAGGCUGCAACCCGCCUGCAUGAAGUCGGAAUUGCUAGUAAUCGCGGAUCAGCAUGCCGCGGUGAAUACGCUCCCGGGCCUUGUACACACCGCCCGUCACACCAUGGGAGCCGGUAAUACCCGAAGUCAGUAGUCCAACCACGUGAGGACGCUGCCGAAGGUAGGAUUGGCGACUGGGGUGAAGUCGUAACAAGGUAGC